UGUAAAUGCUGCAGCAAACUGCGCAGAGGCUUUGCAUAAUGUCACGGCAGCAGCUGCUAUUGCUAGAGUUUGCUGGGGGCCCAGUGGAGGACGGAGUUGCAGGGACCCAUUUCCAGCAGCCAGGGAAGGAAGAGGCUGAGAGGUGUCUGGGAGACAGGGGUAUCUAGGGGAGCUGAGAACGCCUGGUCUACCCACUGAAGAGUUCUGGGAGGAGAGAAGGAGCCUGGGGAAUCCUGCGGAGCUGAGGCUCAACUGGAAGUUGCACCCAGAGGACUGAGAGACUAAGGUGGAGAGUUACCCGCACUGGACAGUGUUGUUGGGAGCAUUAAAUGAAGUGAUGUGAAAGGGGGAUGGCGCAGGGCAUGGCACACAGGGGGCACCUCAUCUUUGGUAAUUAAAGGUGUGUGGCAAUGGGGGAGCAGUAAUGCGGGGCCUAUUUUAGCCUUUCAGUGUAUUUACCCAGCCAUGUAACCCUCCGUUUGUGCACUCAUCACACUCCUGAUUCGUCCACUUCUUCAUCCUUCCACCCACCUACCUCCCCUCUCCAUCCAUUCUCCUACUCACACCAGUUACUCUACCCUUCCCUCUACCCACCUCUCUAUCCAUUUAGUCAUUAAUCCACACAACCAUUCACUCAUCCAUUUGUAUAUUCACCCCAUCCACCUAUUUUUCAGCCUAUCCAUAUGGAUCCCACUCUACCCAUCUGUCUUAUCCAUAGCCCUACCUAUCAUUAAUUCAUCUACUUUCUACUCUUCCCAUUUAUUAGUUCAUCCAUCCAUCUGCCCACUCUU
Long non-coding RNA from Camelus dromedarius (Arabian camel), 791 nucleotides. RefSeq lists it as uncharacterized. The transcript has 3 exons. Lineage: Eukaryota; Metazoa; Chordata; Mammalia; Artiodactyla; Camelidae. The record is from RefSeq and is a predicted model, not a curated record.